Molecule: ribosomal RNA, 515 nt
Filed under: uncultured bacterium
Lineage: Bacteria
Description: partial 16S ribosomal RNA
Rfam family: Bacterial small subunit ribosomal RNA
Source: RNAcentral
GAUGAACGCUGGCGGCGUGCCUAAUACAUGCAAGUCGAGCGAAUGGAUUAAGAGCUUGCUCUUAUGAAGUUAGCGGCGGACGGGUGAGUAACACGUGGGUAACCUGCCCAUAAGACUGGGAUAACUCCGGGAAACCGGGGCUAAUACCGGAUAACAUUUUGAACCGCAUGGUUCGAAAUUGAAAGGCGGCUUCGGCUGUCACUUAUGGAUGGACCCGCGUCGCAUUAGCUAGUUGGUGAGGUAAAGGCUCACCAAGGCAACGAUGCGUAGCCGACCUGAGAGGGUGAUCGGCCACACUGGGACUGAGGCACGGCCCAGACUCCUACGGGAGGCAGCAGUAGGGAAUCUUCCGCAAUGGACGAAAGUCUGACGGAGCAACGCCGCGUGAGUGAUGAAGGCUUUCGGGUCGUGAAACUCUGUUGUUAGGGAAGAACAAGUGCUAGUUGAAUAAGCUGGCACCUUGACGGUACCUAACCAGAAAGCCACGGCUAACUACGUGCCAGCAGCCGCCGUAA